GACGAACGCUGGCGGCGUGCCUAAUACAUGCAAGUAGAACGCUGAAGACUUUAGCUUGCUAAAGUUGGAAGAGUUGCGAACGGGUGAGUAACGCGUAGGUAACCUGCCUACUAGCGGGGGAUAACUAUUGGAAACGAUAGCUAAUACCGCAUAACAGCAUUUAACCCAUGUUAGAUGCUUGAAAGGAGCAAUUGCUUCACUAGUAGAUGGACCUGCGUUGUAUUAGCUCGUUGGGGAGGGAACGGCUCACCAAGGCGACGCUAAAUAGCCGAACUGAGAGGGUGAUCGGCCACACUGGGACUGAGACACGGCCCAGACUCCUAAGGGAGGCAGCAGUAGGGAAUCUUCGGCAAUGGGGGCAACCCUGACCGAGCAACGCCGCGUGAGUGAAGAAGGUUUUCGGAUCGUAAAGCUCUGUUGUAAGAGAAGAACGUGUGUGAGAGUGGAAAGUUCACACAGUGACGGUAACUUACCAGAAAGGGACGGCUAACUACGUGCCAGCCGCCGCCGUAA
This 513-nucleotide ribosomal RNA is filed under the name uncultured bacterium. Its description in RNAcentral is "partial 16S ribosomal RNA". It matches the Rfam family "Bacterial small subunit ribosomal RNA", at positions 28 to 523 of the family's 1533-position model. The record is from RNAcentral.